RNAcentral lists this unclassified non-coding RNA (1640 nucleotides) under Diuraphis noxia (Russian wheat aphid). RNAcentral describes it as "protein scarlet-like, transcript variant X2". The record is from RNAcentral. Lineage: Eukaryota; Metazoa; Arthropoda; Insecta; Hemiptera; Aphididae.
AGUAGUGAAAGAACACUUUUAUUAAAAAAAAAAAGAAGAUUUAAUAAUUAAAAAUAAUGGAUUUGGCGUCUACAUACAAUGUAUUUUUCAACACAAACACGCCCGACGAUCACGAAUCUUCUCAUAUCCAUUUAUGCACAAACAAUGUGGACGAAAUUAAUGAAAACUGCUUACCAAUUUAUUGGGAAAAUUUGAGUGUGCACGCAAUAAUUAAAAAAGACCGGUGGUUACGUUCGAGCAUUACGACUAGAAAACUUUUGUUAAAUAAAGUCGAAGGAUAUAUACCUCCGUGUUCACUUGUAGCCAUCAUGGGACCAAGUGGUGCUGGAAAAAGUACUUUAAUGGCUGCUCUGGCUAAUAAACUUCCAGCCCAAAUAGAACUCGAAGGAAGUGCGAAAAUAGGAAGUCUUUCGGUUAGAAAUUUUGAAAGCCACAAUUUUGGAUUUAUGUACCAACACGAUUUAUUCUGUGGAGUUUUAACCGUAAAAGAGCAUCUUUAUUUCAUGGCUAAAUUAAAACUGGACAGGAGAACAACUGACAAAAAUCUGAAAGCUCGAGUAUCGGCUGUUAUAGAAGAAUUAGGUCUCGGUCAAUGUAUGAACACUAGGAUUGGAGCUAAUGGGGAAAAUGGAAAGAUAACGUUAUCGGGUGGUGAGAGAAAAAUUGUGUCGUUUGCAACUGAGCUUCUUACCGACCCACCAUUUUUAUUCUGUGACGAACCGACAACAGGGUUGGAUUCAUACAGUGCUCAGAAAGUCAUUAAAGUUAUGCAACGAUUAGUGUCUGAUGAAAGAAAAACGGUUGUCUGUAUAAUUCAUCAGCCUAGUACUGAACUUUUAAACGCAUUCAACCAGUUGAUUUUGGUAGCUGAUGGAAGAAUCGCCUAUUCAGGACCACCCAAUAAAGCUAUUUCGUUUUUUGAGAGUGUUGGUUAUCGCUGUCCCGAUAAUUAUAACUCAGCAGAUUUUAUUAUGAAAAUAUUAUCAGAUAGCAACAAAUCUGUAAAAACGGUUUGUGAUGAAUUUGCAGCUAGUAAGCACGCAGAAAUAGUAAAAAAUGCUAUUGCAAAUGAAAUAUAUUUUGAUACAUCAAGUUCAUCGGUGCUUCGAAAUCACUUAUCGCCGUUUUGGCCGGUGAAACUGUACCACUUGACCGGAAGAUAUCUUCUAGAGAAAGUUCGCAACCCCACCAUUGACAUCCACAGGUUUUUACAAAAAGUCGGGAUCGCUAUCAUGGUCGGCCUGUGUUACUUAGGCACAGUGCAACAGACUCAAGUUGGCAUACAAUCGGUGCAGGGCAUAUUUUUCAUGCUGAUCACGGAGAACUUUUUCACGCCCAUGUAUUCGGUGAUGAAUCAACUGCCCACACAAUUGCCCCUGUUCAGGAGAGAGUACACUUCGGGCCUUUACGAUGCCCCGACUUUCUAUAUCGCCAACAUAGUCUCGUUCGUUACAUGUUCAAUAACAUUUUUGGAUCCUUAUCUUUGGCGUUAACAUUUGUCCAGCCAUUCGACAAUGUGAUUAUGAUCUUAUCAGGAAUAUUUGUGAACCUCAGGAGUAUACCGUGGUUUCUGCAUUGGGUAGUUGAGAUAUCUUGGUUUGAAUUGGGAUUUGAAGCGCUCACUAUUAUUCAUUGGCAAA